UCCAGGGAGCAAAGACUGAAUCUGGUCUCAGGCAGGGCGAAGGUUUGUCCGCGCCUCGCUCUCCCUGAGUGGUCAGAAGCGGCCCUGUGAUGGUGAGCAGUCUAAACGCAGAGAUGCGUGCAAUUGCCCGGUGUGAGCAGGUCAGCCCUGGGCUGGUCAGCUCCUCGCUGACUCCCUCCACUGCAGAUCUGGAAGUGUGGGUGCUGUACUGAGACAGGAAUGUCAUCAAGCCGAAGAGCACCUUCUACUAGAGUUCAGGCUGAUGUCCAUGUCUACCUCCUGGGCUCCCACUGACUUGCAUUGACCCGCAGAUUCACCUGCACAGUGGUUUACAGACUCGCCUGCACACAGGAGGACAUCAGGCGCCUUGCUUGCUGCAUGGGGAGAAUCACACAGGAGCCCAAGAGGACACCGGCUCCAGGGCCUGGCGUCCUUCCUGUGGUUCUGGCUGAGUAUCUUGGGCUGGCCUCUCAUGGUGAUGGAGAAGCCUGUAGCAGUUCUGGCCUUCCCACCCUCACAACAAUGGCCAGGGGCCAUAGAAGAUGUGUCCUGUCCCUGAUCACACAGUCAAGCUGACUCUUAGGGAAGCCAGAUGCCACACCGUGAGCAGCUCUGCGGAGAAAUCCAUGCAGCAAGGAACCAAGGCCUCCAGCCAGGAGCUGCGUGACUGGGUGAACUUGUUACCACAACACCAGGGGUUUGGUCCAGGUCCUACUGCUCACCGCAUGGAAAGCUCAUCACUGAGAUGACAAGUAUUGCCAAGAAAGGAUUUAAUCAGGUGCUGCAGCCGAGGAGAUGGGAGCUCAGUCUCAAAUCCAUCCUGCUGACCUACUAAAACCAGGGAUUUGUAUAGCAGGGAAGAAAUGAAACAAUGUGUAAGAAAACAGGAACUAGGGAGGGGCACGGAAGCAAUCAUGAUGAAUGAGGGGGUAGCAUCUCAUUGUCUGAAUGUGGUGAUCUGGUGAGUUUCAGUUCUUUGGUACUUUUCUUGAGAAACCUGAAGUUAGUUUCCUGAGGAAGGAACUCAAGUAAAACAAAUGUAAAUUUCAAGCCAGAAGGGUCAAUUUGUAUGUUUAUCCGAAAAACAGUCUAUGGGACUACUGGGUCAGUUUCAAACUUGGAAGCCACUCUCCAGCCCCAGUUGAGGCUUUAGAGGAAGUCAGUGCCAGGCCACAGCUUGACUGCAACCCCUGGAGAGAAUCUGACCUGGAACCACCCAGCUAGGCCUGGUCUGAGUUUCUGCCCCACCGAAACUGAGAUAAUACAUUUUGUUGCUUUAAGCUCCUAAGUGACAGACAUUUAACCGUCAUGAGGCCAUCUAUAACUGAUAUACAAGUCUACAUGAAAAAUCCCAUAAAUACAGUCAUGCGCUGCAUAAUAACUUUUCAGUCAAUGUUGGACUGCAUCUAUAAUGGUGGUCUAUAAUGUAAUGGAGCUGAAAAACUCCUAUUACCCAGUGAAGAGUAGUUGCUGUAACACUGUAGCACACUGCAUUACUCAGGUGUUUGUGGGGAUGCUGGUAUGAACAAAUCUACUGCAUGGCCAGUUGCAUGAAAGGACAGCACACAUGAUUUAUAUACAGCACAUAAUACUUGGUAGUGAUAAUAAAU
Molecule: long non-coding RNA, 1610 nt
Organism: Cercocebus atys (sooty mangabey)
Lineage: Eukaryota; Metazoa; Chordata; Mammalia; Primates; Cercopithecidae
Exons: 3
Source: RefSeq, a predicted model, not a curated record